AUGGCAAUAGAAAUCAGGACACAUAAUCACACUAGGACACAACAAUUUUUCCACAAUAAUCCUCCAAUAAUACAUACAAGAAUAAAUAAGAGCAUGUAAAUUUCAACCACUGCACCAACCUAUUAAUACUUGUAAAGGUUGGACUGGACUCCAAGAUCAGGUCUCCACCACUGGUGAAUUCCGUGGGCUUCCUUGAAAUCUUGAGAUGGAAUCAAAUUGACCGUCAGAUUUGCUGAAGGAAUGAGGUGGAGUGGCUCUGAUUCCUUGCCCAUUGC
RNAcentral lists this unclassified non-coding RNA (275 nucleotides) under Hevea brasiliensis (rubber tree). The record is from RNAcentral. Lineage: Eukaryota; Viridiplantae; Streptophyta; Magnoliopsida; Malpighiales; Euphorbiaceae.